Molecule: ribosomal RNA, 482 nt
Filed under: uncultured bacterium
Lineage: Bacteria
Description: partial 16S ribosomal RNA
Rfam family: Bacterial small subunit ribosomal RNA
Source: RNAcentral
AUUGAACGCUGGCGGCAUGCUCUACACAUGCAAGUCGAACGGUAACAGGCCGCCAGGUGCUGACGAGUGGCGAACGGGUGAGUAAUGCAUCGGAACGUGCCCAGUCGUGGGGGAUAACUACUCGAAAGAGUAGCUAAUACCGCAUACGAUCUAUGGAUGAAAGCGGGGGACCGUAAGGCCUCGCGCGAUUGGAGCGGCCGAUGUCAGAUUAGGUAGUUGGUGGGGUAAAGGCUCACCAAGCCAACGAUCUGUAGCUGGUCUGAGAGGACGACCAGCCACACUGGGACUGAGACACGGCCCAGACUCCUACGGGAGGCAGCAGUGGGGAAUUUUGGACAAUGGGCGCAAGCCUGAUCCAGCAAUGCCGCGUGCAGGAAGAAGGCCUUCGGGUUGUAAACUGCUUUUGUACGGAACGAAACGGCUCUGGUUAAUACCCGGGGCUAAUGACGGUACCGUAAGAAUAAGCACCGGCUAACUACGUG